CACGUAGGGUGCAAGCGUUGUCCGGAAUUAUUGGGCGUAAAGGGCUCGUAGGCGGUCCGUCGCGUCGGGAGUGAAAACUCGGGGCUCAACCCCGAGCCUGCUUUCGAUACGGGCGGACUAGAGGUAGGUAGGGGAGAAUGGAAUUCCCGGUGUAGCGGUGAAAUGCGCAGAUAUCGGGAGGAACACCGGUGGCGAAGGCGGUUCUCUGGGCCUUACCUGACGCUGAGGAGCGAAAGCGUGGGGAGCGAACAGG
RNAcentral lists this ribosomal RNA (253 nucleotides) under uncultured bacterium. RNAcentral's name for it is "partial 16S ribosomal RNA". It matches the Rfam family "Bacterial small subunit ribosomal RNA", at positions 524 to 776 of the family's 1533-position model. The record is from RNAcentral.